GACGAACGCUGGCGGCGUGCUUAACACAUGCAAGUCGAGCGGUAAGGCCCUUUCGGGGGUACACGAGCGGCGAACGGGUGAGUAACACGUGGGUGACCUGCCCUCAGCUCUGGGAUAAGCCUGGGAAACCGGGUCUAAUACCGGAUAUGACUCCAUGACGCAUGUUGUGGGGUGGAAAGCCUUGUGCGGCUGAGGAUGGGCCCGCGGCCUAUCAGCUUGUUGGUGGGGUGAGGCCUACCAAGGCGACGACGGGUAGCCGGCCUGAGAGGGCGACCGGCCACACUGGGACUGAGACACGGCCCAGACUCCUACGGGAGGCAGCAGUGGGGAAUCUUGCGCAAUGGGCGAAAGCCUGACGCAGCGACGCCGCGUGAGGGAUGACGGCC
This 386-nucleotide ribosomal RNA is filed under the name uncultured bacterium. Its description in RNAcentral is "bacterial SSU rRNA". It matches the Rfam family "Bacterial small subunit ribosomal RNA", at positions 28 to 416 of the family's 1533-position model. The record is from RNAcentral.